Long non-coding RNA from Ananas comosus (pineapple), 481 nucleotides. RefSeq lists it as uncharacterized. NCBI's taxonomy places the organism in Eukaryota, Viridiplantae, Streptophyta, Magnoliopsida, Poales, Bromeliaceae. The record is from RefSeq and is a predicted model, not a curated record. The transcript has 2 exons.
UUGUAGGUUCCCUCUGUCCCAAAUGGAAUCAAAAGGGCCCCCAUUAUUUGCUCAGGGAAUAACACAUUCCCCUACCUGCAGAGCUGCAACAACAGAUUUCACGAGGCCACACUCAUCUGAAUAUCAACAGUAACAAGUUGGAGAGUCACUCCAAAACAAAAAGAACGAAGAAACCCCCCCCCCCCUUAGUGUACAGUACAGCUGCAGCUGCAAAUGAUUUUUUUUUCUUAGGCUAGAAAUUCAAUUUACCUUCGAUUCGGUGCGAUCUUUCGCUCACUUUUUUUUCAUUUCAUAUUUAAGUAGUAGCAUAUUGUCCUUGCACCAAUACCUUCAUUCAAGAGUUUGUUUUUGGUGCAGAAAGCCUCAAAUUCAGGAUAACACAGAGAGAAUGAGUUUCAAGAAAAUUAUUCGGAGUUUUUUUUUUCCAAUAUUUGUUUCUAAUUUAGCCUCAUUUGCAAUCAAUUUCACUAUAAUUUCUUUU